Molecule: ribosomal RNA, 802 nt
Filed under: uncultured bacterium
Lineage: Bacteria
Description: bacterial SSU rRNA
Rfam family: Bacterial small subunit ribosomal RNA
Source: RNAcentral
AGAGUUUGAUCCUGGCUCAGGACGAACGCUGGCGGCGUGCCUAAUACAUGCAAGUCGAGCGAGCUUGCCUAGAUGAUUUUAGUGCUUGCACUAAAUGAAACUAGAUACAAGCGAGCGGCGGACGGGUGAGUAACACGUGGGUAACCUGCCCAAGAGACUGGGAUAACACCUGGAAACAGAUGCUAAUACCGGAUAACAACACUAGACGCAUGUCUAGAGUUUGAAAGAUGGUUCUGCUAUCACUCUUGGAUGGACCUGCGGUGCAUUAGCUAGUUGGUAAGGUAACGGCUUACCAAGGCAAUGAUGCAUAGCCGAGUUGAGAGACUGAUCGGCCACAUUGGGACUGAGACACGGCCCAAACUCCUACGGGAGGCAGCAGUAGGGAAUCUUCCACAAUGGACGAAAGUCUGAUGGAGCAACGCCGCGUGAGUGAAGAAGGGUUUCGGCUCGUAAAGCUCUGUUGGUAGUGAAGAAAGAUAGAGGUAGUAACUGGCCUUUAUUUGACGGUAAUUACUUAGAAAGUCACGGCUAACUACGUGCCAGCAGCCGCGGUAAUACGUAGGUGGCAAGCGUUGUCCGGAUUUAUUGGGCGUAAAGCGAGUGCAGGCGGUUCAAUAAGUCUGAUGUGAAAGCCUUCGGCUCAACCGGAGAAUUGCAUCAGAAACUGUUGAACUUGAGUGCAGAAGAGGAGAGUGGAACUCCAUGUGUAGCGGUGGAAUGCGUAGAUAUAUGGAAGAACACCAGUGGCGAAAGCGGCUCUCUGGUCUGCAACUGACGCUGAGGCUCGAAAGCAUGGGUAGCG